Molecule: transfer RNA, 1120 nt
Filed under: Olea europaea subsp. europaea
Lineage: Eukaryota; Viridiplantae; Streptophyta; Magnoliopsida; Lamiales; Oleaceae
Rfam family: tRNA (bases 80-152)
Source: RNAcentral
CUUCGUCUCUGCUUCAGAGCAUACAAAUUCAAGUAUAUUUGCAUUUAUAUUUAUUUUUAAUUUUUUUCACUGCAAAACUGAUCGCAUAGCGGAGUGGAUAUCGCGUUAGACUCCGGAUCUAAAGGUCGUGGGUUCGAAUCCCACUGCGAUCGUAUCCUUUUUGCCUUUCCUUUUUUUCUUUUUGACCGUUAUCUAAAUUUUCUACCCCAAUUUUUGUGGUACAAGUUUUUGAAGUGACAAAUUAAUUGAAGUUUUCAUCAGUUUGUUUGUACGUAGAUGCAAUUCUUAGUAUAUUUAUAAUUCUAACACAUUAAACACAUUUGUUCAGGAAUUUUAUCCUAUAUUUGAACACUCAGAUAACUUUUUGGAGUGCUAUUCAAUACUUUGGGAAAAAAUUGAAGUUUUUCUCAACGUGAUUAUUUUAUAAUUCCUAAACAAAGUAAAAAUGGCCGCUUCUUAUAGCUUGCUGACAUUUGGAAUAGUACUCUUGCUGCAUAGUUUGAUGGAACGUGUUUAGAGAAUUUUCUGCAUGAAUUCUUUGGAGGUCGUGAAAAUGUUGAUUAAAAGGUUCUGUAAUAAGAUUAUAUAGAAAUUCGAUUCUUUAUUUUUAUAUCGUUUAAAAUGUUCAGACAAUGUUGUCCAUAUGGUUCUUGAUCGUUGCAUGGUUUAGUGGAAUACAUUUAGAUAUUGUUGUCCAUAAAAAUCUUCGGAGGUCUGGCAGUGUUCGAAAAAAGAUGGUAAUAACACGAGAAUCUCAAUUUACAAUUUUCGAUCUAAAAUUGUUAAUGAGUGCUAUAAUAUUGUCAGAGUGCAAGUGUUCUGCUAGUUGCUUGAACUUCUUAAGCAAACACACCAUGGAAGUUCACAUUAUAUGCAACUAUUUUCCUUUUUGCUCAUGGCAUAAUUUUUGGCUAUAUUGACAACGUUUGAACAGAACCUUAUUAAAAAACAAGCUAGAUAAAGCUGGUGUCCUACCCAGAUUCAGUGAUGGCUUUGAAAAUGUUGUAUCAACUUUUGUGUUUAAGGCUCGUUUGGCAUGACUUUUGCUUUUACUUCCUAUAGAUGAGCUUUUGAAUAAAGCUACUUUAAUUUUGGUUUGAAAAUUAAUUUUUAAAUGAGU